RNAcentral lists this ribosomal RNA (440 nucleotides) under uncultured bacterium. RNAcentral's name for it is "partial 16S ribosomal RNA". It matches the Rfam family "Bacterial small subunit ribosomal RNA", at positions 338 to 795 of the family's 1533-position model. The record is from RNAcentral.
CCUACGGGAGGCAGCAGUGGGGGAUAUUGCACAAUGGGGGGAACCCUGAUGCAGCGACGCCGCGUGGGUGAAGGAGCGCUUCGGCGCGUAAAGCUCUAUCGGCAGGGAAGAAGAUGACGGUACCUGACCAAGAAGCCCCGGCUAACUACGUGCCAGCAGCCGCGGGAAUACGUAGGGGGCAAGCGUUAUCCGGAUUUACUGGGUGUAAAGGGGGCGCAGACGGCAAUGCAAGCCAGAGGUGAAAGCCCGGGGCCCAACCCCGGGACUGCACUUGGAACUGCAUGGCUGGAGUACAGGAGAGGCAGGCGGAAUUCCUAGUGUAGCGGUGAAAUGCGUAGAGAUUAGGAGGAACACCAGUGGCGAAGGCGGCCUGCUGGACUGUGACUGACGUUGAGGCCCGAAGGCGUGGGGAGCAAACAGGAUUAGAUACCCCAGUAGUC